UAACGAAUGUUGCCGUUGUUACAUUGUCAUAUGUGGUGACAGAGGUUACCAUGGUAUAAGUAAAUCCUAGUCAAUCAUCAUUAUUUAGGUUGUGGCACACGUGAACCGUGCAAUCCUAGGACAUGCGGUAGAGGGAAGCCUUGGAGGCUAUGGUGGUUGGAUGGUUGCAGCUACCACUAGCAUGUAGGCUAAGUACAAAAUGUGAUAGCACUAUGGGGGCAUCACCGGGCUCCCUCCCCUCCACUUCCAUUACUACAAUUGGGAUCCUUGUUAUUGAGGUGUUGAUGGAGUCAGUGUCAAUGGUGCCUGCACCAUCAUAAUUACAACCAAGUAAUAGAUAUGGAUCACCAUUUGGCAAGAAGUAGAUUUAUAAACUAAUUUCUCUGGUGCUCCUGUGAGAGAGUACUUAAUUAUGAUUGUUUUGUGAUGAUAAUAAACCAGUAUUUUUAGUUAAUUUGUAAUGAAUUAGGAUUCGGAUAGACUUAUAGUUGAUUCAUGAUGAUGAUGAUCUACUACUAUAUAUAAUAUUGAACUAAUGCAUUCCAUGUGGCGAUGAUAAAUUUUUAGUUUUUUUGUGAUGAUGAUGUAAAAUAUAGUUUGUUUGUGGUGAUGAUGAACCAGUUUAUGUGGAUGCAUGAUGAACUUGUUAUAUUUGCAAGUUUGAUCUUGUUAUGUUAUGCCACAACACAAAAUGGUGAAGUCAUUACAUCAAGUUGUUAUGAACGCCUACCAUAUACUCUAGCAUAUUCAUAUUGAAUCUAUAUAUAUGUGUUGUGUGUGCAAUUCAUUCAUUACAGAUACGGUGGUCUUGGCUUCAUCUUCUAUUAUAGUACUAUUUUUGCAAAUUAUGAG
RNAcentral lists this long non-coding RNA (852 nucleotides) under Setaria viridis. RNAcentral describes it as "long non-coding RNA (SVIR_LNC003517)". The record is from RNAcentral. Lineage: Eukaryota; Viridiplantae; Streptophyta; Magnoliopsida; Poales; Poaceae.